UUUCUUUUCUUUUAUUUCUUUUUCUUUUCUGUUUUAUUUAAUUUAGGGCACUUAAGUAUUUUAUAAAAUUGUGUCUUCUACACCAUAAUUACCUAUGCCAUAUUUGGCACUGUCCGAACAUUUUUGUUUCAACUUUUGAAAACUUUUGUUGUUUGACAUAUUUUGAAUUUGACUUUUGAACGGGUUUUGAACUAACGAGAGAUUAGCAACAGUAAUCAGAGAUGACAUGGCAUCAUUAGGAGAGUUUUACUGUAGCCUAAUUAUUCGGGCAUUACAAAUCUCCUCCACUACAAGAAAUCUCGUCCCGAGAUUUAAGAGGCGUAAGGGGGGGUAGGUUCUGGUUACGAAAUUCUAGCAAGUGUUGUCGGUCUUAGUUGAUCUUCUCGAAGAAUUUGAUCCCUUCCAUUGACGUUUGUAUUCCACUGCUCCAGGUCAUCAUGAUGAAGUCGUAAUCCUUCCUUCGGGAGUUCCAACGUACUUAUGAAAGGUAAAAAAGGGGGUAUUCCGGGAGAACGGACCUCGGCAAGGUUGACUAUCUGGUCGAUAACAUCGGGGAAGGUGGCAGAAAGUAACUCUCGAAUUGAAACUUAAGAAAAUAUCGAGAGCAAAGUAAGGAGGUAUCAUGGGAAGUUUCGAGCGGGCAGACAAUUGUUCAAUGCCUGAAACAGGGCGUGAAAAGGGGUUUAGAGCAACGAGAAUAGGUAUCGCGUCUGAUACCAGAAUAGAUCACUAGGAAGGUGGCUCGCGAAUUACCUACGAUACCAAGAGCAAGGGAUAACUUUGUCAACAAGGUGUAUAUGAGAGUCAGGUUUCGAUCAUGUGGAACUGUGGGUUAUGGGCCCACCAUGUGGGUUAAAAGUAGGAAGGGCGGUGACAUCUUGCACGAUCAUGUAAGCAAGGCAUGUCAGAGGAUAGUCUAUCAGUUAUGUCGGCAACAACAUUGGUACCAAAGGCGGGGGACGAAGAGAACCAUUUUCCUGCUCGUUGAAUGAUGCAGACCAAUAGGCAAAGUUCUCGUCCAUCGGUGGUUACCGGAAUGUCAUCAACAAAAGUAACAUGGUCUUACUGACAGAGUGGUACAACGAGGUGUUUACAUAAGCAGGGAAAUAUUACUGCUUAUAUAAUAUAGAUCACAAGAAGGUUUAAACAAACCAAUGGAAAGGAAAAGUAAUUAUCAGAUUUAAAAAGAACAAUGGAAAGGAAAAUGUGCAUACACACAUAUUUUGGGGGUAUAUCCUUCCCAAGGACAAGCGGAGCAUGAUAUCCAUGACAGGAUAGAAAGUAGGAAACCAUUUAGGUAAGGGGGGGAGGAAUCUCAUGAUAUUACCCAUACAACGGUGUUAGGAUAAAUGAUAAAGAAAAUUUAGCAUUGUGCUUCAAAUGCUCUUAUUGAAAAUCGGAUUACCACAGACAUGCUUCGAGAUAGCAUUGACAUGGUCUUGAAGCAAAGGUUGGACUUUGGAUACACGAAGGAUUCAUCAGAAACAACUUGUAGAAUAAGUCUUACGGUUUCCUCAUGGAAGAAUGGAUAACCUUGCUGAAAAGGAAACUAUAACAAUAGGGCCUCCUGCCAGGUGUGCUAGGCAUGACAUCACCUUACCGGGUCAUAUAAAGACCAAUGUUAUAACUCUUGGAAAUAUGUUCCAACCAUCAUAUCUGACUGAGACUCAGAUCCGAUUGGUGUCAGGAUAACUCAGACUAAGGAUGCCUGAGAAGAAAGGUGCAAUACAAAUUGUCGAGAUGACAUUGUAAGAUUCUCGGGAAUUGAACUAUGGAAGCAAGUUCCGAAACAAGAGUUCAUCAUCAAAUCAAGGAGAGGAUGAGGAGGUGGCUAAUGGACUCAGCGACAACUCAUUGAGAUUUCCAAAAGAUGGUUUUCCACAAUUAUGUGAACAAGGAGAUAACAUUUGUCAGAGCAAAUGAUAUAAUGAUGUAUGCUCAAGAAAACCAUACACCAUUAAACAUUGGUUGAAAGGUGCACCCAGGAUAUGGGCUUAGGUAGUAUAAUCAAUGUUAGAAUGGUGAUUCAAUAACCAUUAGCCAAAGAAUGAACUAUCGACCAUUAACUUCAAAGCAAUAGGGUAGCUAGAAGUUUUGAAUUCAUCCAUCCUUGUUCAGUGGUCGGUAAUCCGGUUAGAAACAACACGGGGACUAGGAUAUUAACGGAGAUGGCGAGAAGUAUUUCCAUAUCAAGAAUUCUUAAGAGGUGGUGAAAUUCUCACCACAUCCCUGACAUAAAAGAUGGUAAUACUCCAAGGUACAGAAGAACAAAUGCUGGAUAGCAAGGAUCUCAAGGUACAACACAAACAUGAACAAGUUUGUGUUGAAGGGAAAGCAAUAAUGUUGUCGAUGAUAACACAAAUCAUCGAGGGGAAAGGAUGGUAAUUGUCAUCAUGAAUUUGGUUGAUAUUCUUGGAAGGAGUCAAAAUGUUGAUGAUGAUCACAACAAAUUUUGUCGAGAGGCUCAACGACGAAGCAAUCGAACAACGACUGCAUCAAACAAAAGGACUGCUGCAACGAAAGAUUAUUGGAUCCACGGAUACGACACCAACUCGGAAUCAAGCUUGAUGUUUGAGGUGAACGAUAAGAUGAGGAAGAUUGACGUAAGCUUAGCUCAGCGUCGAAAGUUGUGCUCCGGGAAUAAGGACCAGGUAGCACAAUUAUAAUCAUUACGAUAAUGAUAUAGUCAAAUAGGCUAGGAAUGAUGUGAUCGAGUAUUAAAUUUGUAAGCAAUGAAGAGUUCUAAUACUUGUUGAAUCGCAAUGCAAACUCGAUUCAGUUAUCGGUGUCUUUGAGUGUUUAAUAACUUAGAGCCCGUGAAAAUUUUGAAUCAGUGAGAAUGUAGUACUUAAUAAGUUAUGCAGUUCCGUGAUAAUCUCGAGAUACCAGGGGGUAAUACUUGGCGACAGACCAAACUAGAGGUUGGACAAGCGUACUGAUCUGCAGAAGGCAAGUACUCUAACUUGUCCGAGAAAUGGAAUCAAGAAGAAAAUAUGGUCGGAACCACGGUCGCAAAAGACCAAUUCACAGAUACCAGAUGAUAGUUAUCAAGGAAAUAGUUAUUAUUACAAGAAGCUUCCAUGAUAGGAUCUACAUCGUGUCCAUGGGCAUGAACACAAACUUCAAGGUCAACACCCACUUCUUUAAUGCAUAACCUUUCAUUCACUUCUCACCUUCAACGAAGCUGUGGUGUUGAAAUUUUAUAUGACAUAACACCACUAGAGUAUGACCCGUAGUAGUUUCCGGGUUCACACAUAUUAGAAAAAGGCAUAUGUCCAACCCAUCGGGGCCUCUUAGGAACAUAUACCACAAACUUUAGGGGUAAAUAACUCAAGCUCGGAAGCAGAGCAUGUUUGGCCAAAGGAGAGGAUACAAAUUGCCAAAGGCAUUAUGUAUCAGGGAGGAUUCACAAGGCAGUAAAAUAUGGACACUGUCGAAUAAUAAUCCAACAAAGGAUCUGACGGUCCAUAGCAGAGCUGAUGUGAGCAUCGGCACACAAUCAGAUAAAGAAACAAUGCAAAUGCAUCUGAUUAUAGAACACCUGAAUAAUUCGAUGCUUAAAUAACAAAGGAAUUAUGAUUUCCAAAAUGAAGGAUCAGAAGCAGACGCUCUGAUUAACAAUGGAUAAGUUGAACAGACUUAGGGGUACAAUCGACGACAAUUUGAUUGGUCGAGAACCAGCUCAUGUUUAAAAUGAUAUCUGAGCCGGAAGGAUGAAUUCUAUGAUCUGAUUGAGGAUUGCAAGCAUUCGCAAAAUAAUGAAUCAAGGGGAUCGAAAUGAUAGUGACAAAGGAUGUCAAUGAACACUGCUAGAAAUAUGGAAUUGACCAUAGUACCGGAAGGCAAGGAAUUCAGGAGCAAUAGGCUCCUAAGGAUUUUUAGAAAACCAAAUAGUAUCCUGAAGAAUUUUGUGAAACACAAAAACAACUAGGAAUGAAGAAAUCCUCGAUACGUGUGAGAAUUUACCGUCGGUGUAAUCGUGAGGAAAAGGAGCUGCAAGGCAGCAGACACAAAGGACCAUCAGAAUAUCCGAAGUAUUUCAGGGUAUCUUAUAAUAACAAGAUCAAAUUGGAAAUGAAGUUAUGGACGACAAGUGUAUGUAACUUUCCAUAAUGAUUUAUCGGUGGUAUGGAAUUGCAACGGCGAAGGGCACAAGGGUCUCGAGGAAACAUCGGGGAGUAUCUUUAAAAUUUUCUGGUGCAUCAGGCGAUCAUCUGGACUGAAGGGGCUCUCCGGGAGAAGUAUUUUCGAGAACCUAAAGUUAGUUUUUUUCAAAAUCAUUUAACCCGAAUAGAACAGAGAUUAGAGUCCCAGAGUAAAGAUCAAGGAGUAAAAGAUCCUAAUACCACCCAAUGGCGACGUGGGCCCAUGGGCCGCAGAGCCAUGUUAGUAAAACAGUUUUCAUCGACUAGACUCGACUUCGGCCAAGGAGUGUGGAACGGGGAUUCCAACAGGCAGUCGGCUCUGAUACCAACUUGUGACGCCCCCGAUUCAAUCGUACACUAAUCAUACACGCAAACGUGUACGAUCAAGAUCAGGGACUCACGGGAAGAUAUCACAACACAACUCUAAAAAUAAAAUAAGUCAUACAAGCAUCAUAAUACAAGCCAGGGGCCUCGAGGGCUCGAAUACAAGUGCUCGAUCAUAGAUGCGUCAGCGGGAGCAACAAUAUCUGAGUACAGACAUAAGUUAAACAAGUUGCCAUAAGAUGGCUAGCACAAACUGGGAUACAGAUCGAAAGAGGCGCAGGCCUCCUGCCUGGGAUCCUCCUAAACUACUCCUGGUCGUCGUCAGCGGCCUGCACGUAGUACUAGGCGCCUCCGGUGUAGUAGGAGUCGUCGUCAACGGUGGCGUCUGGCUCCUGGGCUCCAGCAUCUGGUUGCGACAACCAGGAAGAAAGGAAAGGGGGAAAAGGGGGGAGAAAAGCAACCGUGAGUACUCAUCGAAAGUACUCGCAAGCAAGGAUCUACACUACAUAUGCAUGGGUAUCUGUGUAAAGGGGCUAUAUCAGUGGACUGAGCUGCAGAAUGCCAGAAUAAGAUGGGGAUAGCUAAUCCUAUCGAAGACUACGCUUCUGGCAGCCUCCAUCUUGCAGCAUGUAGAAGAGAGUAGAUGGUAAGUUCACCAAGUAGCAUCGUAUAGCAUACUCCUACCCGGCGAUCCUCUCCUCGUCGCCCUGUUAGAGAGUGACCACCGGGUUGUAUCUGGCACUUGAAAUGGUGUGCUUUAUUAAGUAUCUAGUUCUAGUUGUCAUAAGGUCAAGGUACAACUCCGGGUCGUCCUUUUACCGAGGGACACGGCUAUUCGAAUAGAUAAACUUCCCUGCAGGGGUGCGCCACAUAACCCAACACGCUCGAUCCCAUUUGGCCGGACACACUUUCCUGGGUCAUGCCCGGCCUCGGAAGAUCAACACGUCGCAGCCCCACCUAGGCACAACAGAGAGGUCAGCACGCCGGUGUAAAUCCUAUGGCGCAGGGGUCUAGGCCCAUCGCCCAUUGCACACCUGCACGUUGCGUACGUGGCCGGAAGCAGACCUAGCCUCCCUUAUACAAGAGUAGGCGUUCCAGUCCAAUCCGACGCGCGCCGCUCAGUCGCUGAUGUCACGAAGGCUUCGGCUGAUACCACGACGCCGAGUGCCCAUAACUGUUCCCGGGUAGUUGGUUAGUGCGUAUAGGCCAGUGGCCAGACUUAGAUCAAGUACCAAGAUCUCGUUAAGCGUGUUAUUUUGAAGUAACCGCGGACGCCGACCAGGGCCAGGCCCACCUCUCUCCUAGGUAGUCUCAACCUGCACUGUCGCUCCGCCACAAAGAUCCACUCGCAGGUACUCCACGAGCCGACCCGACUUUAGUUACCACAGGUAUCAUGUAAAGUAUAUAAUUAUAUACCCGUGAUCACCUCCCGAGUGAUCACGGCCCAAUAGUAUAGCAAGGCAGAUGGACAAGAAUGUAGGGCCACAGAUGGAAUACUAGCAUCCUAUACUAAGCAGGUAGGAUUGCAGGUAAUGGUAACAAUAGUAGUAGCAAGGACAUGCUAUGCAUCGGGAUAGGAUUAACGGAAAACAGUAACAUGCUACACUACUCGAAUGCAAGCAGUAGAGAGUAGAAUAGGCGAUAUCUGGUGAUCAAGGGGGGGCUUGCCUGGAAGCUCAGCCGAGAAGGAGGGGUCGUCAACACCGUAGUCAUACUAGGUAGCAGCGGCGUCGGUCUCGGUGUCUAGCGAGAGAAGAGGGGGAAGAAACAAUAAAUACAAUGCAAACAAAUGCAUGACGAUGCAUGACAUGACAAAGCGUGAUGCUAGGUGUGCCAAAGCGGUAGUAGGUGAUACCGGCGAAGGGGAGAAACAUCCGGGAAAGUAUUCCCGGUGUUUCGCGUUUCCGCACAGAUGAACCGGAGGGGGAAAGUUGCGAGUUCGAUAGGUUAGGGAUGUGUGGUGGACGAACGGGCUGCGUAUCCGGAUUCGUCUCGUCAUUCUGAGCAACUUUCAUGUAGAAAGUAUUUGCAUCCGAGUUACGUAUUAUUUUAUAUGAUUUUCUAAAGAUUUAAUCAUUUUCUAAUUUUAAUUAUUUAUUUAAAUCCGACAUUAUCCAGAACAGUGAACGAUGACACAAGCAUGACAAUAGAGUGAUGUCAGCGGGUCAACUGGUCGGUUGACUAGUCAAACCAGACAGGUGGGUCCAUUGGGACCCACAUGUCAGUGACAGUGCUAACUAACAGAGUUAUUUUAAACUAACUAACCUAAUUAGCGAGUUGGGCCCAGUAGUCAGUGAGAGAUUAAGGUCUUUAUUAAUUAAUUUAAUUAAUUAGCAAUUUAUCUAUUUAUUUUUGUUUGUUUAUGGCGUGGGGCCCGCAUGUCAUAGACACAGGGGGCGGCCACGUCAGCGUUGACCCAAGUCAACUGGUCAAAGGCGGGCCCUGAGCCCACCAGUCAGUGGCACGAGGCGGUGCCACGUGGGUGCCAGCUCGGCACCCGUCGGAGACGCGUCCGAGCUAACUCCGGCGACCAUUCCAACGGCGGAGCGAUCGGGAGAGCUAUGGGAUUCGUCCACACCGAACCAUUUAGGGCGCGGCCGGGCUCGUUCGAACGGCAAGACGACGGCGGAGCGAUCUGUGAUGGUGGCGGAGGCUGCGGUGGCCGGAGCUGGGCGCAUCGAGCUCAUCAGCGGCGAGGUUCUCCGGGCGAGGUACGGGGACGGUGCUACGGGGCGCAAAGCGAGCUGCGCGAGGUUCCUACGGUGCCUACUCGACGCGAGAAGCGGAACGGUGGCACGCAUGGGACCAAAUGGUCACCGUGGCCACGCCGGCGAUGAGGCCAGGUGGCGGCGUGUUUGGGUGAGCGUGGAACGGGCGCUACCGGUGAUCAGAGGAGGCAGGGGAGGGCGCAUCCGGCGCAGAGGCUCACCAGGGGAGCGUGGGGUCUGGGCAGAGGGCUCGGGGAGGACCGGCGGCGUAGAUUGAAGGCGAGGACGACGCAUUGGCCGAGCCGGAGAAGAAGACGAAUGCGGUGAUGCGAGGGGGUCCGGGGCUCGAUCCAGCGGCGUAGUGGAAGCAGAGGACCACGGCGGAGCGAUAGGACUUGCAGGGCCGACGAACGGACGACGGUGGUCGCGUCUACUGCGAGCGGCGGCGAGGAAGGCGCUCGGCCAUGGCGGAGAGUGAGGAGCGGCGAGGUGGAUCUGAUGGAAGAGGGAGACGCAGGGACCGAGGGGGAGAGCGGGGGCGAGUGGGAAUGGGAUCGAGGAGGCGAGGGCGUGGCGGCCUUAUCUCCUCCCGGCGUCGGUGCCGGCGAGGCGGCCGGGCGGGGAUGCGCCCCUGUUCCGACCCUGGUCGGAGGAACAGGGAAGGGGAGAGAGAGACCGGGGGAACGGGCUGGGUCGGCCGGAUGGGCCAGGUGGGCCGGCCUGGCUAUGAGCUGGGCCGUCUGGUCCAGUGGGGGUCCUUUUCUCUUUUUUCUUUUUUCUUUUUUCUUCUGCUUAUUUUCUUUUCUUUUAUUUCUUUUCCUUUUUUGUUUUAUCUAAUUUAGGGAACUUAAGUAUUUUAUAAAAUUGUGUCUUCUACACCAUAAUUACCUAUGCCAUAUUUGGCACUGUCCGAACAUUUUUGUUUCAACUUUUGAAAACUUUUGUUGUUUGACAUAUUUUGAAUUUGACUUUUGAACGGGUUUUGAAGUAACGAGAGAUUAGCAACAGUAAUCAGAGAUGACAUUUCAUCAUUAGGAGAUUUUUAUUGUAGCCUAAUUAUCUGGGCAUUACACUGGCACUGGGCUCUGGGUUAAUAGGUUAGUCCCAAAAAUGAUAUAAAAGUUCAUAGUAAAGCCCAUUAAACAUCC
RNAcentral lists this long non-coding RNA (8325 nucleotides) under Triticum aestivum (bread wheat). Its description in RNAcentral is "long non-coding RNA (TAES_LNC017585)". The record is from RNAcentral. Lineage: Eukaryota; Viridiplantae; Streptophyta; Magnoliopsida; Poales; Poaceae.